Molecule: long non-coding RNA, 1510 nt
Organism: Oryzias melastigma (Indian medaka)
Lineage: Eukaryota; Metazoa; Chordata; Actinopteri; Beloniformes; Adrianichthyidae
Exons: 5
Source: RefSeq, a predicted model, not a curated record
AGGAUUCAGGAGUGAAGCUUCUGUCUGCUGGACUGGAGAGUCCACGCUGUAAACUGAAGAGUCUCAGGUUGGAGGACUGCAGUUUGUCAGAGAUCAGCUGUGAAGCUCUGGGCUCAGCUCUGAAAUCAAACCCAACUAGUCUGACGGAACUGAACCUGAGCAGGAACAGCAUUCAGGAUUCCGGAUUUCUUCAUCUCCGUGGUUUUCUGGAGAGUCCAGACUGCAGACUGCAGACUCUGAGGUUGAGGAGCUGUGGUUUGUCAAAUAUAAGCUGUAAGCCUCUGAACUCAGCUCUAAAGAACAACCCGUCCAAUCUGACAGAACUGGACCUAAGCAAGAACAAACUCCAGGAUGUAGGAUUUCCUCAACUAUGUGGUUUCCUGGAGAGUCCAGACUGCAGACUGCAGACUCUGAGGUUGGAGAACUGUAGUUUGUCAAAGAUCAGCUGUGCUGCUCUUGUCUCAGCUCUGAAGUCCAACCCAUCCCACCUGACAGAACUGGACCUGAGAUACAACAACCUGCAGUCUUCAGAUGUUCAGCAGCUCCAGUAUCUGGUGAAGAGUCCAAACUCCAAACUGCAGACUCUGAGGUGGGAGAGAGAUGCUCUUCCCAAUAUCCACUGAGCAGAAAGGCACAUCAUCAUCAUCAUCUGGUCUGCAGAGAUGUUGUUCCUGGAGGUGGAGAGCAGAGUGAUGGAGGAAUCAGAGGAAGUGGAGAUGAGUGUCAGAGCUGCAGCAUGAACUGAUCUGAGAUCAGCUCCACUGUCUCUCUCAGGAUGAAGUGGACAGUUAUUGUGCUGCAGCUCCCCUGGUGGACUGAUGGAGAACUGCACUUCAUCUUCUCAUUCUAACUUGGAGUGUUUGGAAAUCUUCUGCUUCUCUUCUCUCUCGUAUUUGGAGUUUCUCUUAACUUUGUCCACACCUCUUGCCUUAGUUGCUGAUGCCAUCCUUCCUGUCAGCUGACAUCUGUGUUCCUCUGUACAUUAUCAUGAAGGAGCAGCUGUGAGCAUUUCUGCACUAAAGUCAGUUGAACAAACAACCAACAGAAAUUGAUCAACCAUUUAUCAGUUUUCUCCUCAGGUGUCCUGAAACUGUUUCUCUGAAUGAUCUGUGUUAGUGAUUCAUCAGAUUCAGACAUGAUGGUUUCCUGCAGAAGCUCAGAAGUCUUUUGAAUAUUAUUGAGGUUUUUCACAGUUUUAUGAUCAAACUUCCUUUUUCUUUAGCGUUUUGCGGGUAAAACAGUCACUUCAUAAAUUGAAUUUUCUUUUGAAAUAUUCUUUCACAUAAUUCUAGUCUGCAGAUUAAACACAGAAAAAACUCAGGAAACAUCCACCUGUGAAAACAGCCUCAUGAGGAUCCAGGAAUUAAUCUACUGUGGAGACCUUUUUACCAUACAGAAUAACCGGAUUACAUAAUUAUGCGAAACAGAGAAAUGAAGUAAUUAAGUAGGGGUGGGAUUAUAUAAAUUCGCUUCUUCCCAAUCCUUUUCAAGCAAUCAAUCAAACUCUACU